RNAcentral lists this ribosomal RNA (253 nucleotides) under uncultured bacterium. RNAcentral's name for it is "partial 16S ribosomal RNA". It matches the Rfam family "Bacterial small subunit ribosomal RNA", at positions 524 to 776 of the family's 1533-position model. The record is from RNAcentral.
GACAGAGGAGGCAAGCGUUAUCCGGAAUUAUUGGGCGUAAAGCGUCCGUAGGUGGUUUGACAAGUCUGGGGUUAAAGCCCGGAGCCCAACUCCGGAUCGGCCCUGGAUACUGCCAGACUUGAGUAAGGUAGGGGUUGCGUGAAUUCCCGGUGUAGCGGUGAAAUGCGUAGAUAUCGGGAAGAACACCAGCGGCGAAAGCGCGCAACUGGGCCAUUACUGGCACUGAGGGACGAAAGCUAGGGGAGCGAAUGGG